UCCCCUUUUUGACUUGAUUUUCUUCAAAGUAUUCUUGAUCCUCCUUCUUCUUGUGCAUGAUCUUCGUUCUUCAUAUAUAUUCUUCAUAUAUUACUGUUGUUUGACAUGUUUAAAAAUGGAGCUUUUGGGGUUAAAAAAUAUAUUAGCCCUUUUCGGGUUAAAAAUAUUGGACCCCUUUUACAGGGUUAAAAGUGAUCUUUAUUUUCAAAUAUGUGACAGCAGGAUUGUUGAAAAUAUGAUUGACAAUCGUGAUCUCUACAUGUAGUUUUUGGACAUAUAUUUUCAUUAUCAUCAAGUUUGUUGCAACUUUGUUCUCAACAUGUUCUCAAUCUGAACCAUCUGAUCAUUAAACCAUAGGCUCUGAAACCACUUGUUGGGUUCGAAAUCGAGAGGGCGUCAUACAGAAGCUAUUAGUUACAAACUAUCGUAG
Molecule: long non-coding RNA, 430 nt
Filed under: Capsicum annuum
Lineage: Eukaryota; Viridiplantae; Streptophyta; Magnoliopsida; Solanales; Solanaceae
Description: long non-coding RNA (CANN_LNC004738)
Source: RNAcentral